Molecule: ribosomal RNA, 489 nt
Filed under: uncultured bacterium
Lineage: Bacteria
Description: bacterial SSU rRNA
Rfam family: Bacterial small subunit ribosomal RNA
Source: RNAcentral
GAUGAACGCUAGCUACAGGCUUAACACAUGCAAGUCGAGGGGCAGCAUUUUAGUUUGCUUGCAAACUAAAGAUGGCGACCGGCGCACGGGUGAGUAACACGUAUCCAACCUGCCGAUAACUCGGGGAUAGCCUUUCGAAAGAAAGAUUAAUAUCCGAUAGUAUAUUAAAACCGCAUGGUUUUACUAUUAAAGAAUUUCGGUUAUCGAUGGGGAUGCGUUCCAUUAGUUUGUUGGCGGGGUAACGGCCCACCAAGACUACGAUGGAUAGGGGUUCUGAGAGGAAGGUCCCCCACAUUGGAACUGAGACACGGUCCAAACUCCUACGGGAGCAGCAGUGAGGAAUAUUGGUCAAUGGACGAGAGUCUGAACCAGCCAAGUAGCGUGAAGGACUAAGGCCCUACGGGUCGUAAACUUCUUUAGACGCAGAGCAAUAAGGUCCACGCGUGGACCGAUGAGAGUAUGCGUAGAAUAAGCAUCGGCUAAUCCGUG